This 3884-nucleotide unclassified non-coding RNA is filed under the name Haliotis rubra (blacklip abalone). RNAcentral's name for it is "uncharacterized LOC124280374, transcript variant X3". Lineage: Eukaryota; Metazoa; Mollusca; Gastropoda; Lepetellida; Haliotidae. The record is from RNAcentral.
CCCACCCCACACCCCUUAAAAUCAUCAUCACUCCCCUAUCUAUAAAUUAUGAAAGGUCCUUAUGCAGUGAACGACAUCUCUGCAUGAUAUAUACAUGCAAUGUAUAAUGGUUAUCGAUAUUAUGCGGCAAAUCGAAUGGAUAUAGGCGGCGCUGAAUAUUCAUUGAGGUCAUCAAGAACUUCCGCUAUCCCGGGCAGAAAGUUGACCUCGCCGGCUGUUGUCAAAACGGGAUCGUGAUCGCGUGAUACAUCCUGAGUAUCAGCUAUGAGUAGCACAGCGGAUGUGGAGUCCCUGUUUGACAGGUUCUGGCAGUGGAGACACGCAGACAGUCCUGAGUUUGCUUCCUACUGUGGUAACCAUGACAACGAGGACUGCUGGGAUGACAUCAGCGAAGAAGCAUAUCUGAACAGAGAGGCUAAGGUUCGAGAGUUCCUGUCAGAAGCUGAAGCUUUGGAUGCCAGGUCGUGCUCCCAGGUAACCAGAGACAGCCUUGCCAUCAUCAAGGAAGACCUGAAAUCCUACCUAGAUGGGGCAAAGUUUAAGUGCUACCUGUUCCCUAUAAACUUCAUGGAGGGUAUCCACAAUGAGCUGCACCAGGUGCUAGGCUACCAAGACUUCAACUCCCACGUUGGCUACACGAAGUAUCUGGCCAAGCUCAAGGCAUUGCCUCACAGGAUUCUCCAAGUGAUUCCUGUCUUAAAACAAGGAAUAAAGGAAGGACUCACUAUGCACAAACAUUCCUUGGAAUCGGUGCCAAGCCAGUUGGAGAUGAUGAUAACAGAACCUGUUGAAGAAUCUGUACUGAUACAGCCGUUCCUCAAAUCAGAAGGGCCACUCUCUACAGAAGAGCUAGACACAUUGAAACAGCAGGCCGAGAGUGUACUCAUUACUAACAUCAGGCCUUGUCUGGAGAAGCUGAAAGACUUCCUAGUAAAUGAAUACAUGCAACACCUCAGGGCAGCAGAAGGGGUGUGCACGCUCAAGAAUGGUGUGGAGUUCUACCAGAUGUGCCUCAACUUCCACCUGUCCUGUGACAUGUCACCACAGGAAGUGCAUGACCUUGGUCUCAAGGAGGUUGCUAGGAUACGCAAACAAAUGCUGGAAAUAUCAGAAAAAGAAGGUUUUGGACAAGAUCUUAAAGCAUUCCAGAAGAAAUUACAUACAAGCAAGGAAUUCAGUUUCAGUUCAGUGGAUGAAGUGAUGAACUACGUCAAGGACAUCUGCUUUAACCAGAUCCGUCCCCAACUCCAUCGACUGUUUCACACCCUCCCAGACAUUCCUCUAGCGUUACAGUUAACACCACCAUCCAUGGCCAAUUCCCCAGCUGGGUUCUACACGGCUGGGACAGCAGACAAGUCCAGGCCAGGCCUCUACCAGAUCAAUGCGAAUAAGCUGGAGUCUUGUAAGAAGUACGAGUUUAUGGCGUUGAGUCUACAUGAAGGGGAACCAGGACAUCACCUGCAGCACAGCCUUUCUAUGGCUACAACUGUCCCCGUGUUCAGACAGUAUGUAGAGGACGGCAAGUACUACUUGACACCAGGGAGGUUCCCCAUGCACACAGCAUACAUUGAGGGUUGGGGCCUGUACUCAGAGUCACUGGGCCUGGAACUAGGAAUGUACACAGACAACUACUCCCUGUUUGGUCGCUACAGUUUUGAAAUAUUGCGAGCAGCUAGACUUGUUGUAGACACAGGACUCCACGCCAUGGGGUGGACCCAGGCUAAGGCUGUGGAGUACCUGGUGGACAAUACUCUGUCUGAUGAGUGGUCAAUGAGGAAUGAGGUCAACAGGUACAUCACCAUUCCUGCUCAGGCUUGUGCCUACAAAAUUGGUGAACUGAAACUGUGGGAACUUCGACACAAAGCAGAAAAGGAGCUUGGAGACUUGUUUGAUGUGAGAGACUACCAUGCAGCAGUUCUUCAGUGUGGGCCUGUUCCACUCACUUUCCUGGAAGGAGCCAUAGAAGAGUAUAUCAGCACCACAAAGGAAAACCAGGGCUCACCUUCCAAGAAAGCCAAGGCACAGUAAAUGCUGGAUUGGAACAGAUUCACCGACUAACCAGAAGAUGAUUUUAGCAAAUUGUAGUUAUGAAUUGACAUUCAGUUCAAGAUAUAAGACAUAUUGACCUCUGUGACUCCACAGUUUCAUGUGGAUUUGGACAAUUACAUUUAAAAGUCUUGUGUUCAAGAGAAAUACCUGAGAUAUUAUCUGAUUCUAGUAGUUAUUGUUUUUCCCCAUUUACCAGUAAGAUUCCAUGAAAUUACAAAGAUAUGAUUAGUUGAUUUAGGUGAAUUGUUCACGGAAUGUGAAUCCAGAGAUUCGUGUGAGUUUCCAUAGCAGUAAACACAGGUUUUGUUAAUACAUAUCCAUUGUAUAUUUGAGCAAUGUUAUUAUUGACCCCAAAUGGGUAAUAAUUAGGUUUGAUUCAAUGAUAAUCCAAACAUGAUGUGUAGGGUUGUGUUUGGUUAUGACAAUUUUGUAGUUUUGUGAAGAGCAUUUGAUAAAAGUUUGCCUUAUAUCUUGCCAGAAAAAUAGAUUCAGUAUUCAAAGAUGAAUCUUGGAGCCAUUUUUGAAAAAAUCACCCCCAGUCUCCUGGUGUCAUUUCUAAAUGUGUUGUCCCCAGUCUCCUUUCCAAAUGUGUUGUCCCCAGUCUCCUUUCUAAAUGAUUUGUCCCAAGUCUCCUGGUGUCAUUUCUAAAUGUGUUGUCCCCAGUCUCCUUUCUAAAUGAUUUGUCCCAAGUCUCCUGGUGUCAUUUCUAAAUGUGUUGUCCCCAGUCUCCUUUCUAAAUGAUUUGUCCCAAGUCUCCUGGUGUCAUUUCUAAAUGUGUUGUCCCCAGUCUCCUUUCUAAAUGACUUGUCCCCAGUCUCCUGGUGUCAUUUCUAAAUGUUUUGUUCCCAGUCUCCUGGUGUCAUUUCUAAAUGUGUUGUCCCCAGGCUCCUUUCUAAAUGUGUUGUCCCCAGUCUCCUUUCUAAAUGUUUUGUCCCCAGUCUCCUUUCUAAAUGUGUUGUCCCCGGUAUCCUUUCCUAAUGUGUUGUCCCCAGUCUCCUGGUGUCAUUUCUAAAUGUUUUGUCCCCAGUCUCCUUUCUAAGUGUGUUGUCCCCAGUCUCUUUUCUAAAUGUGUCAUUACCAGUCUCCUUUCUAAUGUGUUGUCCACAGUCUCCUUUCUUAAUGUGUUGUCCCCAGCCUCCUGGUGUCAUUUCUAAAUGUUUUGUCCCCAGUCUCCUUUCUAAAUGUGUUGUCCCCAGUCUCCUUUCUAAUGUGUUGUCCCCAGUCUCUUUUCUAAAUGUGUCAUUACCAGUCUCCUUUCUAAUGUGUUGUCCACAGUCUCCUUUCUAAAUGUUUUGUCCCCAGUCUCCUGGUGUCAUUUCUAAACGUUUUGUCCCCAGUCUCCUUUCUAAAUGUGUUCCUCCUGUCUACUGGUGUCAUUUCUAUAUGUGUUGUCCCCAGACUCCUGAUAUCACUUUUGAAUGAGCCAUCCCUGGAAUCUUUAAUGGAAGAGACAUCUCUCCUGGAAUUAUUUCAAAAUGAGAUACCUGCAUAUCCAUUUCGUCUGAAUGAGCCAUACUUGUAUCUAUUCAGCCAUGUCAGUUUGAGUCAUCCCAGACAGGUAUCUGGUCAGGGAAGUUAGUGUGCCUUGUCAAUGUGAUGUCCAUUUCUCUGUGACAGUUUGCUGUCUCAAAUUCCAAUAAUAUUUGCCUCUCAACUGGAAACAUUUUAUUGAAAUAUCUUUCUAUUCAAGGUUGGAUCGGACAUUGCUUUUCAACUGUCUGCCAAAUAUUUCCUUAUGUGCAAAUAGUCAGAUCCAAUAUUACACACUAGAUAUCUACGUCAUAAUAUGAGUUAUAUUUACUGUUUUUACUGGAAUAAUAUAUUUUUUAAAAAGA